UACAGAGGGUGCAAGCGUUAAUCGGAUUUACUGGGCGUAAAGGGUGCGUAGGUGGCUAUUUAAGUCGGAUGUGAAAGCCCGGGGCUCAACCUCGGAAUUGCAUUCGAUACUGAGUGGCUAGAGUUCGGUAGAGGGCGGCGGAAUUUCCGGUGUAGCGGUGAAAUGCGUAGAUAUCGGAAGGAACAUCAAUGGCGAAGGCAGCCGCCUGGGCCUGAACUGACACUGAGGCACGAAAGCGUGGGUAGCAAACAGG
Molecule: ribosomal RNA, 253 nt
Filed under: uncultured bacterium
Lineage: Bacteria
Description: partial 16S ribosomal RNA
Rfam family: Bacterial small subunit ribosomal RNA
Source: RNAcentral